This 85-nucleotide transfer RNA is filed under the name Helianthus annuus (common sunflower). RNAcentral's name for it is "tRNA-Ser". It matches the Rfam family "tRNA". From Rfam's summary of the family: Transfer RNA (tRNA) molecules are approximately 80 nucleotides in length. The record is from RNAcentral. Lineage: Eukaryota; Viridiplantae; Streptophyta; Magnoliopsida; Asterales; Asteraceae.
CGGAGAGAUGGCUGAGUGGUUGAAAGCCCCGGUCUUGAAAACCGGUAUAGUUUAUUAUCGAGGGUUCGAAUCCCUCUCUCUCCUU